Molecule: ribosomal RNA, 581 nt
Filed under: uncultured bacterium
Lineage: Bacteria
Description: bacterial SSU rRNA
Rfam family: Bacterial small subunit ribosomal RNA
Source: RNAcentral
UUUGAUCAUGGCUCAGAUUGAACGCUGGCNGCAGGCCUAACACAUGCAAGUCGAACGGUAANAGGAAGCAGCUUGCUGCUUCGCUGACGAGUGGCGGACGGGUGAGUAAUGUCUGGGAAACUGCCUGAUGGGGGGGGAUAACUACUGGAAACGGUAGCUAAUACCGCAUAACGUCGCAAGACCAAAGAGGGGGACCUUCGGGCCUCUUGCCAUCGGAUGUGCCCAGAUGGGAUUAGCUAGUAGGUGGGGUAACGGCUCACCUAGCGACGAUCCCUAGCUGGUCUGAGAGGAUGACCAGCCACACUGGAACUGAGACACGGUCCAGACUCCUACGGGAGGCAGCAGUGGGGAAUAUUGCACAAUGGGCGCAAGCCUGAUGCAGCCAUGCCGCGUGUAUGAAGAAGGCCUUCGGGUUGUAAAGUACUUUCAGCGGGGAGGAAGGCGAUAAGGUUAAUAACCUUGUCGAUUGACGUUACCCGCAGAAGAAGCACCGGGCUAACUCCCGUGCCAGUCAGCCGCGGUAAUACCGGGAGGUGCAAGGCGGUUAAUCGGGAAUUACUGGGGCGGUUAAAGCGGCCACG